RNAcentral lists this ribosomal RNA (254 nucleotides) under uncultured bacterium. RNAcentral's name for it is "partial 16S ribosomal RNA". It matches the Rfam family "Bacterial small subunit ribosomal RNA", at positions 524 to 776 of the family's 1533-position model. The record is from RNAcentral.
CACGUAGGGGGCAAGCGUUGUCCGGAUUUAUUGGGCGUAAAGAGCUCGUAGGCGGCUCAGUAAGUCGGGUGUGAAACCCUCAGGCUCAACCUGGGGACGCCACUCGAUACUGCUGUGGCUAGAGUCCAGUAGGGGAGUGUGGAAUUCCCGGUGUAGCGGUGAAAUGCGCAGAUAUCGGGAGGAACACCAGCGGCGAAGGCGGCACUCUGGGCUGGUACUGACGCUGAGGAGCGAAAGCGUGGGUAGCAAACAGG